RNAcentral lists this transfer RNA (71 nucleotides) under Proechimys steerei (Steere's spiny-rat). RNAcentral's name for it is "tRNA-Gln". It matches the Rfam family "tRNA". From Rfam's summary of the family: Transfer RNA (tRNA) molecules are approximately 80 nucleotides in length. Lineage: Eukaryota; Metazoa; Chordata; Mammalia; Rodentia; Echimyidae. The record is from RNAcentral.
UGGGAUGUAGUGUAUGGGUAGCACAGGGAAUUUUGAGUUCUCUAGGUUAGGUUCAAUUCCUACUAUCUCAG